RNAcentral lists this ribosomal RNA (253 nucleotides) under uncultured bacterium. RNAcentral's name for it is "partial 16S ribosomal RNA". It matches the Rfam family "Bacterial small subunit ribosomal RNA", at positions 524 to 776 of the family's 1533-position model. The record is from RNAcentral.
UACGAAGGGGACUAGCGUUGUUCGGAAUUACUGGGCGUAAAGCGUACGUAGGCGGAUUUGUAAGUCAGGGGUGAAAUCCCGGGGCUCAACCUCGGAACUGCCUUUGAUACUGCAAAUCUCGAGUCCGAUAGAGGUGGGUGGAAUUCCUAGUGUAGAGGUGAAAUUCGUAGAUAUUAGGAAGAACACCGGUGGCGAAGGCGGCCCACUGGAUCGGUACUGACGCUGAGGUGCGAAAGCGUGGGGAGCAAACAGG